This 443-nucleotide ribosomal RNA is filed under the name uncultured bacterium. Its description in RNAcentral is "partial 16S ribosomal RNA". It matches the Rfam family "Bacterial small subunit ribosomal RNA", at positions 338 to 795 of the family's 1533-position model. The record is from RNAcentral.
CCUACGGGAGGCAGCAGUGGGGAUUAUUGGUCAAUGGGCGCAAGCCUGACCCAGCAACGCCGCGUGAAGGAAGAAGGCUUUCGGGUUGUAAACUUCUUUUCUGAGGGACGAAGAAAGUGACGGUACCUCAGGAAUAAGCCUCGGCUAACUACGUGCCAGCAGCCGCGGUAAUACGUCGGUGGCAAGCGUUAUCCGGAUUUAUGGGGUGUAAAGGGCGAGUAGGCGGGAAAGCAAGUCAGAUGUGAAAACUCAGGGCUCAACCCUGGGCCUGCAUUUGAAACUGUUUUUCUUGAGUGCUGGAGAGGCAAUCGGAAUUCAGGGUGUAGCGGUGAAAUGCGUAGAUAUACGGAGGAACACCAGUGGCGAAGGCAGAUUGCUGGACAGUAACUGACGCUGAGGCGCGAAAGCGUGGGGAGCAAACAGGAUUAGAUACCCGAGUAGUC